Molecule: small RNA, 66 nt
Filed under: Chryseobacterium culicis
Lineage: Bacteria; Pseudomonadati; Bacteroidota; Flavobacteriia; Flavobacteriales; Weeksellaceae
Description: Flavo-1 RNA
Rfam family: Flavo-1 RNA
Source: RNAcentral
UUUUAGCCCUGAUUGCAGCGGCAUCCUUUUGCAAAGCAAAAGAUACAGCGGAAAGCAGGUUCCCGG